UCCAAAGGUGAAUCUUUUGGUUGGUGAUUUUGAUGAUAGCCACAAAGCAAGCAGGCUGUAUGGUAGCCUUGAAAACCAACAGGCCACAAUCACAGUGAAAACCUCAGGUUGGCAGCCACUGGAGGAUACAAAAUGAGUUUGGAUCUCCUUCAAUGCCCCAUUCCCAGAGAACUGUCAUUAUUUGACCUGCUGGUAGUUCCCUAAAGGACGUGCAAGGAUGUUUUUAUUUGACUGGACACUUGAAGCUUGCCCUGUAUGAACAGCCCCCAUCUUCCCAUGCUUGUCAAAAAUCAGAGGCAACUAACACUGCGGCUUCCUGAGAGCUCCCAAGAUGGUGGCAAGCCUUUUGUUCUCUGACCAGAGGUUCCUGGCCUCACGGAUUCCAAGGAAUGGAACCUUGGGCCAUGCGUGCACUUGAUUUUGCAGAUGAGUCUGGAAGUGUUAGUUGCAAAGAUAUGCAUUUACUUCUCUGGCUACAAAAAAGAAUAGAAAUGCACAAAGCAGAGCAGUGUGAAGAAGAAGAGGCGAUGACCCCUAGACCGACCAAAGCCCGUGCUCCACUGCCCAGUGCCUAUGUCCCACCACUGUCGCUGCCACCCUGCCCGAGAGAAAGGCUGAAGGGGAUGCUAAAGGAGAUAAAACCAAGGUUAAGUAGGAACUGCAGAGAAGAUCCACAAGGUUGUCUGCUAAACCUGCUCCUCCAAAGCCACAGCCGAAGCCCAGAAAGGCCUCUGCAAAGAAGAGAGAGAAGGUACCUACAGAGAAGAAGGGAAAAGCUGAUGCUGGCAAGGAGGGGAAUAACCCUGCAGAAAAUGGAGAUGCCAAAACAGACUAGGCACAGAAAGCUAAAGGUGCUGGAGAUGCCAAGUGAAGUGUGUGCAUUUUUGAUAACUGUGUACUUCUGGUGACUGUACAGUUUGAAAUACUAUUUUUUAAUCAAGUUUUAUAAAAAUGCAGAUUUUGUUUAGCUUUUUUUUUUUUUUUUAAGCUAUGUUAGUACACAGAAUACUUCAUUGUUGUUUUGGGGAGAAGGGCCAUA
This 1039-nucleotide long non-coding RNA is filed under the name Homo sapiens (human). RNAcentral describes it as "SLC30A4 antisense RNA 1". Lineage: Eukaryota; Metazoa; Chordata; Mammalia; Primates; Hominidae. The record is from RNAcentral.